This 253-nucleotide ribosomal RNA is filed under the name uncultured bacterium. Its description in RNAcentral is "partial 16S ribosomal RNA". It matches the Rfam family "Bacterial small subunit ribosomal RNA", at positions 524 to 776 of the family's 1533-position model. The record is from RNAcentral.
UACGUAGGGGGCGAGCGUUGUCCGGAUUUAUUGGGCGUAAAGAGCGUGUAGGCGGCCAGGUAGGUCUGCUGUGAAAACUCGAGGCUCAACCUCGAGACGGCGGCGGAAACCAUCUGGCUAGAGUCCGGAAGAGGAGAGUGGAAUUCCUGGUGUAGCGGUGAAAUGCGCAGAUAUCAGGAGGAACACCGGUGGCGAAGGCGGGUCUCUGGGCCGAGAUCGACGCUGAGGCGCGAAAGCUAGGGGAGCAAACGGG